GAUGAACGCUGGCGGCGUGCUUAACACAUGCAAGUCGAACGAAGCAUUACUUUUGAAAGGACCCAGCUUGCUGGGUGUGGACAUGUGUGAUGACUGAGUGGCGGACGGGUGAGUAACGCGUGAGUAACCUGCCUUAUACAGGGGGAUAACAGUUGGAAACGACUGCUAAUACCGCAUAAGCACACAGUAUCGCCUGAUACAGUGUGAAAAACUCCGGUGGUAUAAGAUGGACUCGCGUCUGAUUAGCUAGUUGGUGAGGUAAUGGCCCACCAAGGCGACGAUCAGUAGCCGACCUGAGAGGGUGACCGGCCACAUUGGGACUGAGACACGGCCCAGACUCCUACGGGAGGCAGCAGUGGGGAAUAUUGCGCAAUGGGGGAAACCCUGACGCAGCAACGCCGCGUGAUUGAAGAAGGCCUUCGGGUUGUAAAGAUCUUUAAUCAGGGACGAAGGAAGUGACGGUACCUGAAGAAUAAGCUCCGGCUAACUACGUGCCAGCAGCCGCAGUAACAC
RNAcentral lists this ribosomal RNA (513 nucleotides) under uncultured bacterium. Its description in RNAcentral is "bacterial SSU rRNA". It matches the Rfam family "Bacterial small subunit ribosomal RNA", at positions 28 to 526 of the family's 1533-position model. The record is from RNAcentral.